GAGUUAAAACAAAAAGGCACUUUAUGAUCCUUAGUUUCACUUUGUGUUGUGAAUUUUAUCCUAAUGUCUAAUUCUUAUUUACCGUUUUAUUAAUGAUUCCUGUAGAAAUUGUGUUGCUGCACAUCACCUCUCUUGUACCUCCUGAGCUUCCGUAGCCCCCCCUUCUGUCCCUCACAUUGCCGUUUUGCAGUGCUGAGGUGUGUGUCUUCUGAGAGAGCGGAUGUGCAGCAUAUACCAAAAAGGCAAAUUAUGUUAUUUUGUCUUCACCAGAAAUUGUGUUGCUGCACAUCACCUCUCUUGUACCUCCUGAGCUUCCGUAGCCCC
Thunnus maccoyii (southern bluefin tuna) is the source of this 324-nucleotide long non-coding RNA. RefSeq lists it as uncharacterized. NCBI's taxonomy places the organism in Eukaryota, Metazoa, Chordata, Actinopteri, Scombriformes, Scombridae. The transcript is spliced from 3 exons. The record is from RefSeq and is a predicted model, not a curated record.